GUGAAUCAUCAAAUUUUUGAACGCAAAUUGCACUCUCUGGUAUCCCGGAGAGUAUGCCUGUUUGAGGGUCAGUUUAAAUAAAAAUCGGUGUGGUUGCUGCCUUUCGUGGUGACGUACCGGAUUUGGUUGUCCUUGCUUUGGGUUAGGGACCUUAAAAUUUUGAUGGUUUUUUUGAACGGAAUUAAAUUAACUUUCCUUAGUUUUGCGUU
Molecule: unclassified non-coding RNA, 209 nt
Filed under: Glomeraceae sp.
Lineage: Eukaryota; Fungi; Glomeromycota; Glomeromycetes; Glomerales; Glomeraceae
Description: partial contains 5.8S ribosomal RNA and internal transcribed spacer 2
Rfam family: 5.8S ribosomal RNA (bases 1-71)
Source: RNAcentral